UACGGGGGGAGCAAGCGUUGUUCGGAUUUACUGGGCGUAAAGGGCGCGUAGGCGGUAGCACAAGUCAGUUGUGAAAUCUCCGGGCUUAACUCGGAAAGGUCAACUGAUACUGUGCGACUAGAGUGCAGAAGGGGCAACUGGAAUUCUCGGUGUAGCGGUGAAAUGCGUAGAUAUCGAGAGGAACACCUGCGGCGAAGGCGGGUAGCUGGGCCGACACUGACGCUGAGGCGCGAAAGCCAGGGGAGCGAACGGG
This 253-nucleotide ribosomal RNA is filed under the name uncultured bacterium. Its description in RNAcentral is "partial 16S ribosomal RNA". It matches the Rfam family "Bacterial small subunit ribosomal RNA", at positions 524 to 776 of the family's 1533-position model. The record is from RNAcentral.